UUUUUGCCAAGCACCGUUCUUGUGCUUUUAGUGAAUUGAUUCAUCUAAUCCUCACAACAAACCCUAUGAAGUGGAUGCUAUUAUUAUGCCUCUUCUCAGAUGAGAGAAAUUCAAGCACAGAAAGAUUCAAAAGCAGCCCAGGAGCGCGCAGCCGGCCAGGGGCAGGGCCAGGAGUCACAUCCAGGAGGUCCAGCUGCAGGAUCUGUGUUCUUGACCAUGAGGUGGGACACGGCUUGAGCUGCCUUGCUUCAGCGAGUUGCCUCAUCAUAUUGUUUUGGCCAGCCGGGGAUAGCACCCAGCCACAUCAUUACUAACUCUUCCACGCCUGGAGGGGUCGUGUACCCCUCACAUUAAUGUGCAACAGGAUCCCAAAUCAGUGACGCUCCUGUGAAGAUACUUACUUGCUCCUUCUCUUCAACUUGCCCCGGACACCGGGAAGUUCAUUGUUCCCCUAAAAGACAGCUGACUGGUUGUUGUUGUUGGCUGGAUCUUCAGCAAGAAAACUCGAGUUGAACACAAGAUCUCCCCGUGUCCGGGUAACCUUCCAGCAUCCUGGCCCGUCAGCCUGGAACAAGCAGGCCUCUGCCGUGUGCUACCCUAGAAGAGACGUAAGUUUCUAGGGACCCAUCACAACAGAAAGCAACAGGCUUCCUUUCUUCUUUGCUCUUUACUAGCAGAGCUGUAGCUGGUGAGAGCUCAGCUUUGACCACUUUUCCUCUCCAAGUCUCCCCGCUUGUAAAGAGUUUUCUCGGUUAAUAAUAGGUUCCUAAGCUGUAACAAAGUGAGAGAGUGGCAUGGACAUAUAUACACUACCAAACGUAAAACAGAUAGCCAGUGGGAAGCAGCCGCAUAGCACAGGGAGAUCAGC
Non-coding RNA from Kogia breviceps (pygmy sperm whale), 868 nucleotides. The record is from RefSeq and is a predicted model, not a curated record. Lineage: Eukaryota; Metazoa; Chordata; Mammalia; Artiodactyla; Physeteridae.